This is a microRNA precursor of Cavia porcellus (domestic guinea pig), 93 nucleotides long. Ensembl annotates it as microRNA 16-1. Lineage: Eukaryota; Metazoa; Chordata; Mammalia; Rodentia; Caviidae. The record is from Ensembl.
AUGUCAGCAGUGCCUUAGCAGCACGUAAAUAUUGGUGUUAAGAUUCUAAAAUUAUCUCCAGUAUUAACUGUGCUGCUGAAGUAAGGUUGGCAA